This 301-nucleotide ribosomal RNA is filed under the name uncultured bacterium. RNAcentral's name for it is "partial 16S ribosomal RNA". It matches the Rfam family "Bacterial small subunit ribosomal RNA", at positions 509 to 807 of the family's 1533-position model. The record is from RNAcentral.
CAGCCGCCGCGGUAAUACGAAGGGGGCUAGCGUUGCUCGGAAUGACUGGGCGUAAAGGGCGCGUAGGCGGAUUGUUUAGUUAGGCGUGAAAUUCCUGGGCUUAACCUGGGGACUGCGCUUAAUACAGGCAGUCUAGAGUGAGGAAGAGGGUUGUGGAAUUCCCAGUGUAGAGGUGAAAUUCGUAGAUAUUGGAAAGAACACCGGUGGCGAAGGCGGCGACCUGGUCUUUAACUGACGCUGAGGCGCGAAAGCGUGGGGAGCAAACAGGAUUAGAGACCCCCGUAGUCCCUGUCUCUUAUAC